GACGAACGCUGGCGGCGUGCUUAACACAUGCCAGUCGAACGAAGAGCGAUGGAAGCUUGCCUCUAUCAAUCUUAGUGGCGAACGGGUGAGUAACGCGUAAUCAACCUGCCCUUCAGAGGGGGACAACAGUUGGAAACGACUGCUAAUACCGCAUACGAUCUAAUCUCGGCAUCGAGGAUAGAUGAAAGGUGGCCUCUACAUGUAAGCUAUCACUGAAGGAGGGGAUUGCGUCUGAUUAGCUAGUUGGAGGGGUAACGGCCCACCAAGGCGAUGAUCAGUAGCCGGUCUGAGAGGAUGAACGGCCACAUUGGGACUGAGACACGGCCCAGACUCCUACGGGAGGCAGCAGUGGGGAAUCUUCCGCAAUGGACGAAAGUCUGACGGAGCAACGCCGCGUGAGUGAUGACGGCCUUCGGGUUGUAAAGCUCUGUUAAUCGGGACGAAAGGCCUUCUUGCGAAUAGUGAGAAGGAUUGACGGUACCGGAAUAGAAAGCCACGGCUAACUACGUG
RNAcentral lists this ribosomal RNA (510 nucleotides) under uncultured bacterium. Its description in RNAcentral is "partial 16S ribosomal RNA". It matches the Rfam family "Bacterial small subunit ribosomal RNA", at positions 28 to 507 of the family's 1533-position model. The record is from RNAcentral.